Molecule: non-coding RNA, 45 nt
Organism: Trichobilharzia regenti
Lineage: Eukaryota; Metazoa; Platyhelminthes; Trematoda; Strigeidida; Schistosomatidae
Source: Rfam
AUCCAGAUGACGAGUCCCAAAUAGGACGAAGUGCCCAUCCUGGAU